UACGUAGGUGGCAAGCGUUGUCCGGAAUUAUUGGGCGUAAAGCGCGCGCAGGCGGUUUCUUAAGUCUGAUGUGAAAGCCCACGGCUCAACCGUGGAGGGUCAUUGGAAACUGGGGAACUUGAGUGCAGAAGAGAAGAGCGGAAUUCCACGUGUAGCGGUGAAAUGCGUAGAGAUGUGGAGGAACACCAGUGGCGAAGGCGGCUCUUUGGUCUGUAACUGACGCUGAGGCGCGAAAGCGUGGGGAGCAAACAGGAUUAGAU
RNAcentral lists this ribosomal RNA (260 nucleotides) under uncultured bacterium. RNAcentral describes it as "partial 16S ribosomal RNA". It matches the Rfam family "Bacterial small subunit ribosomal RNA", at positions 524 to 783 of the family's 1533-position model. The record is from RNAcentral.